AUUGAACGCUGGCGGCAUGCCUUACACAUGCAAGUCGAACGGCAGCACGGGUGCUUGCACCUGGUGGCGAGUGGCGAACGGGUGAGUAAUACAUCGGAACAUGUCCUGUAGUGGGGGAUAGCCCGUCGAAAGCCGGAUUAAUACCGCAUACGAUCUACGGAUGAAAGCGGGGGACCUUCGGGCCUCGCGCUAUAGGGCUGGCCGAUGGCUGAUUAGCUAGUUGGUGGGGUAAAGGCCUACCAAGGCGACGAUCAGUAGCUGGUCUGAGAGGACGACCAGCCACACUGGGACUGAGACACGGCCCAGACUCCUACGGGAGGCAGCAGUGGGGAAUUUUGGACAAUGGGCGAAAGCCUGAUCCAGCAAUGCCGCGUGUGUGAAGAAGGCCUUCGGGUUGUAAAGCACUUUUGUCCGGAAAGAAAUCCUUGGCCAUAAUACGGUCGGGGGAUGACGGUACCGGAAGAAUAAGCACCGGCUAACUACGUG
RNAcentral lists this ribosomal RNA (486 nucleotides) under uncultured bacterium. Its description in RNAcentral is "partial 16S ribosomal RNA". It matches the Rfam family "Bacterial small subunit ribosomal RNA", at positions 30 to 507 of the family's 1533-position model. The record is from RNAcentral.